This 2197-nucleotide long non-coding RNA is filed under the name Lynx pardinus (Iberian lynx). The record is from RNAcentral. Lineage: Eukaryota; Metazoa; Chordata; Mammalia; Carnivora; Felidae.
CACUGAUAGCCUCCUUCUAUCCCGUGGCCCCAGUGGUCAGGGAACUUGGAGUAGAAGCAGCCUAUGCCCUUCCUCAGCUGCUGGUUUUGUCUCUUAGCAUUGGGAAGUUCUUCCUUCUCUCUAACUUCAGUCCUUGCUGCUAUCCUGCUACACUUAUUCUCUCUUUAUUCUUUCUUGGGAAUUUGGGGGUAGACCGCUGUCUGCACCCCCCUCCCAGGGGAUUGUGCUUGGGGAGGGGGACCUGGGGAAGGCGGCCUGGGAAUCUCUCCCUCUUCCCAGUCAGGUUGGGGCAGGAGGGCCUCUGCUCUGGGGAGAGGGCGGCCUCCUGUGCACACACAUGCUCACCUACCUUGUCUGGUUCUCUCUGGCCCACAGUGGGCUCCACGCUGUCUCGUACCUGAUUUCUGGCCUGGCUUGUGGUGCUUUGGCUCCCUGGCCAGGGGGAGCAGACAGGCACUAAACAGGUGGACAGAACUGUCUGCCGGGCAAAGGAUGGGCACAGAGCAGUCUAAGGAGCCAUCUGGGGAUGAGCAGUACGGAAGGGGUGCCCCAUGGGCUGGCCAUGCCCUUGGCACUUUGGCCCACUGCACCCAGCCGCUCCUGCCUCUUUCUGGCCUUUGGGAGCUAAUCCUGAAGGGGUCCAGUGGGCAAAGCCCCCCUGCUGGCCUUUUGGGCUGGCUUCCCCUCUGCAUCCUGUGGCGCCAUCGAGCAGUGGAGCCGGGCAGGCAUGGGUCGCCUCUCUGUCUUCCCAGCCUGCACCCCGCCACCUCCAGGUAAGCAGGUGGCAAGGCUGGGUGGGUUGCCUUGGGGGAGGGAGGCUUGAGGUCCCUGCUGCCCCCCCUGGAAUAUCCCCAUGGCUCCUUUUGGUGGAAAGAGCACUGGACUUGGAGUCAGACUGCCUGGGUUCAAAUCCUGGCUCUGCCACUAACUAGCUGGGGGUAAGUGACCUUGGGUGGAUCUCAGGACACCCACCCUCAAUGUCCUCAUCUGUAAAGUGAGGACCACAGGAGCAGUAGCCAUUUCGUGCCGAAGAAGAAUUUGGCUGAGCCCCUCCCCUUGUGGCUGUGAAGCCCUUGGAGAAAGCUCCAAAAGUAGAGGGUGACGGGGCCAGGAGUCUCUGGCCUGAGAUUAGGGUGACAGCCCCACCCUUUGAGGCCAGGUCAGUUCAACAAACAGCUAAUAUUUGCCAAGUGCUGACGCUGUUCUAAGCACACGCUCGCGUGAGCUCACUUAAUUUUCCACCACCUCUCUGCUCUUGUUACCUCAUCGUACAGAUGGGCAAACUCACGGGAGGACCCAUGGGACCUGCUCCCAGAGUUUAACGUGGGCAGUGAGAGGCAACCCUGUGUCUGUGCUUCCCGAUAAACCAGCGUCUCUGCCAGCAAGUGGGAGACCACAGUGUGGGGUCGGAAGAGGCCUGAGUUCUAGUCCCAGCCUUGCCUCUGACUUGUUGAGCGAACUCAGUCACCACCCUCCCCUGCCUCAGUUUCCCCAUCUGUGAAAGGAAGGGGCUGGGCUCACCCGCGUCUGACCCCCCCCCUGCCCGCACCAUCCCAGCUCAGGGUGUUUGGUUUGCAGGGAUCACGGUCUCCCUCAUCUUUCUUCUCCCUCCAGGCUGCCCCAAGUCCCAGGGCUUUCUGCGUCCCCCAGAUCAUCUUGACGGAGUGUACCCCCAACCCUCCCUCCCCACCAGAGGCCAGACCUGAGGAACCCGGUCACAGGACAGCCCCCACCCCGCGACCCCGGACCCUGGCUGGCAGUGGGAGGGGCUGGGAUGGUGCACGGGCCCUGCCAGAGGUAGUGACCAAGGCUGCCCAGCCCAGGAGCAGCUUGGCGCCUGAGAAGGACGGGGCGGCUCAGAAGAGACUGGGGACGAGGAGCUGCAUCGCAGAGGAGGGAGGAGCCGGCGUCCCCUGUUCUUGGGGACCAGCCCCUGACGGGACUCUGGAGCUUUCCACUGCUGACAGCCACCCAGAGGAGACCCCCAAGGACACGGGACAGGAUGUCCAACCCAGCAGUGGGGAGCCCAGGGGCCAGCCCGCUGCCGGCCUGGGCUGCACAGUGAGAGGCGCCACCACCCAGCGGAUGGACAGCCUGGAGGAGACACUCCGGGAGCUGGAAGCCACUCUGAGCCAGAUGGGCGCAGCCCUCGCCAUGGGGCCCCCUGGCAGCCCCCCACCCCUGCCACCCGGUCCCC